This 459-nucleotide ribosomal RNA is filed under the name uncultured bacterium. RNAcentral's name for it is "partial 16S ribosomal RNA". It matches the Rfam family "Bacterial small subunit ribosomal RNA", at positions 338 to 795 of the family's 1533-position model. The record is from RNAcentral.
CCUACGUGGUGCAGCAGUGAGGAAUAUUGGUCAAUGGGCGCGAGCCUGAACCAGCCAAGUCGCGUGAGGGAAGACGGUCCUAUGGAUUGUAAACCUCUGUUGUCGGGGAGCAAAAGACGCCACGCGUGGCGUUCCGAGAGUACCCGAAGAAAAAGCAUAGGCUAACUCCGUGACAGCAGCCGCGGUAAUACGGAGGAUGCGAGCGUUAUCCGGAUUUAUUGGGUUUAAAGGGUGCGCAGGCGGAAGAUCAAGGCAGCGGUAAAAUUGAGAGGCUCAACCUCUUCGAGCCGUUGAAACUGGUUUUCUUGAGUGAGCGAGAAGUAUGCGGAAGGCGUGGUGUAGCGGUGAAAUGCAUAGAUAGCACGCAGAACUCCGAUUGCGAAGGCAGCAUACCGGCGCUCAACUGACGCUCAUGCACGAAAGUGUGGGUAUCGAACAGGAUUAGAUACCCGGGUAGUC